This 2365-nucleotide ribosomal RNA is filed under the name human gut metagenome. RNAcentral's name for it is "bacterial LSU rRNA". It matches the Rfam family "Bacterial large subunit ribosomal RNA", at positions 448 to 2823 of the family's 2925-position model. The record is from RNAcentral.
GAGGACCAUCUCCCAACCCUAAAUACUCUCUAGUGACCGAUAGUGAACCAGUACCGUGAGGGAAAGGUGAAAAGCACCCCGGGAGGGGAGUGAAAUAGAACCUGAAACCGUGUGCCUACAACAAGUUCGAGCCCGUUAAUGGGUGAGAGCGUGCCUUUUGUAGAAUGAACCGGCGAGUUACGAUAUGAUGCGAGGUUAAGUUGAAGAGACGGAGCCGUAGGGAAACCGAGUCUUAAUAGGGCGUAUUAGUAUCAUGUCGUAGACCCGAAACCAUGUGACCUACCCAUGAGCAGGUUGAAGGUGAGGUAAAACUCACUGGAGGACCGAACCAGGGCACGUUGAAAAGUGCUUGGAUGACUUGUGGGUAGCGGAGAAAUUCCAAACGAACUUGGAGAUAGCUGGUUCUCUCCGAAAUAGCUUUAGGGCUAGCGUCGAUGUUAAGUCUCUUGGAGGUAGAGCACUGUUUGGGUGAGGGGUCCAUCCCGGAUUACCAAUCUCAGAUAAACUCCGAAUGCCAACGAGAUAUAAUCGGCAGUCAGACUGCGAGUGCUAAGAUCCGUAGUCGAAAGGGAAACAGCCCAGACCACCAGCUAAGGUCCCAAAAUAUAUGUUAAGUGGAAAAGGAUGUGGGGUUGCACAGACAACUAGGAUGUUAGCUUAGAAGCAGCUAUUCAUUCAAAGAGUGCGUAAUAGCUCACUAGUCGAGUGACCCUGCGCCGAAAAUGUACCGGGGCUAAACAUAUUACCGAAGCUGUGGACUACACCAUUAGGUGUAGUGGUAGGAGAGCGUUCUAAGGGCGUUGAAGGUCGAUCGUGAGGACGGCUGGAGCGCUUAGAAGUGAGAAUGCCGGUAUGAGUAGCGAAAGACAGGUGAGAAUCCUGUCCACCGUAUGACUAAGGUUUCCUGGGGAAGGCUCGUCCGCCCAGGGUUAGUCGGGACCUAAGCCGAGGCCGAUAGGCGUAGGCGAUGGACAACAGGUUGAUAUUCCUGUACCAGUUGUUUUUGUUUGAGCAAUGGAGGGACGCAGUAGGCUAAGGAAUGCAUGCGAUUGGAAGUGCAUGUCCAAGCAAUGAGUCUUGAGUAGAGUUAAAUGCUUUACUCUCUAAGGACAAGUUGUGACGGGGAGCGAAAUAAUAGUAGCGAAGUUCCUGAUGUCACACUGCCAAGAAAAGCUUCUAGUGAGAAAACAACUGCCCGUACCGUAAACCGACACAGGUAGUCGAGGAGAGUAUCCUAAGGUGAGCGAGCGAACUCUCGUUAAGGAACUCGGCAAAAUGACCCCGUAACUUCGGGAGAAGGGGUGCUGACUUCGGUCAGCCGCAGUGAAUAGGCCCAAGCGACUGUUUAUCAAAAACACAGGUCUCUGCAAAAUCGUAAGAUGAAGUAUAGGGGCUGACGCCUGCCCGGUGCUGGAAGGUUAAGAGGAUGGGUUAGCUUCGGCGAAGCUCAGAAUUGAAGCCCCAGUAAACGGCGGCCGUAACUAUAACGGUCCUAAGGUAGCGAAAUUCCUUGUCGGGUAAGUUCCGACCCGCACGAAAGGCGUAAUGAUUUGGGCACUGUCUCAACGAGAGACUCGGUGAAAUUUUAGUACCUGUGAAGAUGCAGGUUACCCGCGACAGGACGGAAAGACCCCAUGGAGCUUUACUGUAGUUUGAUAUUGAGUGUUUGUACCACAUGUACAGGAUAGGUAGGAGCCGAUGAGACCGGAACGCUAGUUUCGGAGGAGGCGCUGGUGGGAUACUACCCUUGUGUUAUGGCUACUCUAACCCAGAUAGGUUAUCCCUAUCGGAGACAGUGUCUGACGGGCAGUUUGACUGGGGCGGUCGCCUCCUAAAAGGUAACGGAGGCGCCCAAAGGUUCCCUCAGAAUGGUUGGAAAUCAUUCGCAGAGUGUAAAGGUAUAAGGGAGCUUGACUGCGAGAGUUACAACUCGAGCAGGGACGAAAGUCGGGCUUAGUGAUCCGGUGGUUCCGCAUGGAAGGGCCAUCGCUCAACGGAUAAAAGCUACCCUGGGGAUAACAGGCUUAUCUCCCCCAAGAGUCCACAUCGACGGGGAGGUUUGGCACCUCGAUGUCGGCUCGUCGCAUCCUGGGGCUGUAGUCGGUCCCAAGGGUUGGGCUGUUCGCCCAUUAAAGCGGCACGCGAGCUGGGUUCAGAACGUCGUGAGACAGUUCGGUCCCUAUCCGUCGCGGGCGUUGGAAAUUUGAGAGGAGCUGUCCUUAGUACGAGAGGACCGGGAUGGACUUACCGCUGGUGUACCAGUUGUUCUGCCAAGGGCAUUGCUGGGUAGCUAUGUAGGGAAGGGAUAAACGCUGAAAGCAUCUAAGUGUGAAGCCCACCUCAAGAUGAGAUUUCCCAUGAUUUU